This 495-nucleotide ribosomal RNA is filed under the name uncultured bacterium. RNAcentral describes it as "partial 16S ribosomal RNA". It matches the Rfam family "Bacterial small subunit ribosomal RNA", at positions 28 to 507 of the family's 1533-position model. The record is from RNAcentral.
GACGAACGCUGGCGGCGUGCCUAAUACAUGCAAGUAGAACGCUGAAGGAGUAUCUUGCUCUUCUGGAUGAUUUGCGAACGGGUGAGUAACGCGUAGGUAACCUGCCUGGUAGCGGGGGAUAACUAUUGUAAACUAUAGCUAAUACCGCAUAAGAGUAGAUGUUGCAUGACAUUUGCUUAUAAUUUUCAAUUUCAUCACUACCACUUGCACCUGCGUUGUAUUAGCUAGUUGGUGGGGUAACGGCUCACCAAGGCGACGAUACAUAGCCGAACUGUGAGGGUGAUCGGCAAAAAUGGGAAUGGGACAAGGCCCAGAAGCCUAAGGGAGGCAGCAGUAGGGAAACAUCGGAAAUGGAGGGAAGUCUGACCGAGAAACGACGCGUGAGUGAAGAAGGGUUUCGGAUCGUAAAGCUCUGUUGUAAGAGAAGAAAGAGUGUGAGAGUGGAAAGUUCACACUGUGACGGUAUCUGACCAGAAAGGGACGGCUAACUACGUG